UUAAGCGACUAAGCGUACACGGUGGAUGCCCUGGCAGUCAGAGGCGAUGAAGGACGUGCUAAUCUGCGAUAAGCGUCGGUAAGGUGAUAUGAACCGUUAUAACCGGCGAUUUCCGAAUGGGGAAACCCAGUGUGAUUCGUCACACUAUCAUUAACUGAAUCCAUAGGUUAAUGAGGCGAACCGGGGGAACUGAAACAUCUAAGUACCCCGAGGAAAAGAAAUCAACCGAGAUUCCCCCAGUAGCGGCGAGCGAACGGGGAGCAGCCCAGAGCCUGAAUCAGUGUGUGUGUUAGUGGAAGCGUCUGGAAAGGCGCGCGAUACAGGGUGACAGCCCCGUACACAAAAAUGCACAUACUGUGAGCUCGAUGAGUAGGGCGGGACACGUGGUAUCCUGUCUGAAUAUGGGGGGACCAUCCUCCAAGGCUAAAUACUCCUGACUGACCGAUAGUGAACCAGUACCGUGAGGGAAAGGCGAAAAGAACCCCGGCGAGGGGAGUGAAAAAGAACCUGAAACCGUGUACGUACAAGCAGUGGGAGCACAGAGCAAUCUGUGUGACUGCGUACCUUUUGUAUAAUGGGUCAGCGACUUAUAUUCUGUAGCAAGGUUAACCGAAUAGGGGAGCCGAAGGGAAACCGAGUCUUAACUGGGCGUUAAGUUGCAGGGUAUAGACCCGAAACCCGGUGAUCUAGCCAUGGGCAGGUUGAAGGUUGGGUAACACUAACUGGAGGACCGAACCGACUAAUGUUGAAAAAUUAGCGGAUGACUUGUGGCUGGGGGUGAAAGGCCAAUCAAACCGGGAGAUAGCUGGUUCUCCCCGAAAGCUAUUUAGGUAGCGCCUCGUGAAUUCAUCUCCGGGGGUAGAGCACUGUUUCGGCAAGGGGGUCAUCCCGACUUACCAACCCGAUGCAAACUGCGAAUACCGGAGAAUGUUAUCACGGGAGACACACGGCGGGUGCUAACGUCCGUCGUGAAGAGGGAAACAACCCAGACCGCCAGCUAAGGUCCCAAAGUCAUGGUUAAGUGGGAAACGAUGUGGGAAGGCCCAGACAGCCAGGAUGUUGGCUUAGAAGCAGCCAUCAUUUAAAGAAAGCGUAAUAGCUCACUGGUCGAGUCGGCCUGCGCGGAAGAUGUAACGGGGCUAAACCAUGCACCGAAGCUGCGGCAGCGACGCUUAUGCGUUGUUGGGUAGGGGAGCGUUCUGUAAGCCUGCGAAGGUGUGCUGUGAGGCAUGCUGGAGGUAUCAGAAGUGCGAAUGCUGACAUAAGUAACGAUAAAGCGGGUGAAAAGCCCGCUCGCCGGAAGACCAAGGGUUCCUGUCCAACGUUAAUCGGGGCAGGGUGAGUCGACCCCUAAGGCGAGGCCGAAAGGCGUAGUCGAUGGGAAACAGGUUAAUAUUCCUGUACUUGGUGUUACUGCGAAGGGGGGACGGAGAAGGCUAUGUUGGCCGGGCGACGGUUGUCCCGGUUUAAGCGUGUAGGCUGGUUUUCCAGGCAAAUCCGGAAAAUCAAGGCUGAGGCGUGAUGACGAGGCACUACGGUGCUGAAGCAACAAAUGCCCUGCUUCCAGGAAAAGCCUCUAAGCAUCAGGUAACAUCAAAUCGUACCCCAAACCGACACAGGUGGUCAGGUAGAGAAUACCAAGGCGCUUGAGAGAACUCGGGUGAAGGAACUAGGCAAAAUGGUGCCGUAACUUCGGGAGAAGGCACGCUGAUAUGUAGGUGAAGUCCCUCGCGGAUGGAGCUGAAAUCAGUCGAAGAUACCAGCUGGCUGCAACUGUUUAUUAAAAACACAGCACUGUGCAAACACGAAAGUGGACGUAUACGGUGUGACGCCUGCCCGGUGCCGGAAGGUUAAUUGAUGGGGUUAGCGCAAGCGAAGCUCUUGAUCGAAGCCCCGGUAAACGGCGGCCGUAACUAUAACGGUCCUAAGGUAGCGAAAUUCCUUGUCGGGUAAGUUCCGACCUGCACGAAUGGCGUAAUGAUGGCCAGGCUGUCUCCACCCGAGACUCAGUGAAAUUGAACUCGCUGUGAAGAUGCAGUGUACCCGCGGCAAGACGGAAAGACCCCGUGAACCUUUACUAUAGCUUGACACUGAACAUUGAGCCUUGAUGUGUAGGAUAGGUGGGAGGCUUUGAAGUGUGGACGCCAGUCUGCAUGGAGCCGACCUUGAAAUACCACCCUUUAAUGUUUGAUGUUCUAACGUGGACCCGUAAUCCGGGUUGCGGACAGUGUCUGGUGGGUAGUUUGACUGGGGCGGUCUCCUCCUAAAGAGUAACGGAGGAGCACGAAGGUUGGCUAAUCCUGGUCGGACAUCAGGAGGUUAGUGCAAUGGCAUAAGCCAGCUUGACUGCGAGCGUGACGGCGCGAGCAGGUGCGAAAGCAGGUCAUAGUGAUCCGGUGGUUCUGAAUGGAAGGGCCAUCGCUCAACGGAUAAAAGGUACUCCGGGGAUAACAGGCUGAUACCGCCCAAGAGUUCAUAUCGACGGCGGUGUUUGGCACCUCGAUGUCGGCUCAUCACAUCCUGGGGCUGAAGUAGGUCCCAAGGGUAUGGCUGUUCGCCAUUUAAAGUGGUACGCGAGCUGGGUUUAGAACGUCGUGAGACAGUUCGGUCCCUAUCUGCCGUGGGCGCUGGAGAAUUGAGGGGGGCUGCUCCUAGUACGAGAGGACCGGAGUGGACGCAUCACUGGUGUUCGGGUUGUCAUGCCAAUGGCACUGCCCGGUAGCUAAAUGCGGAAGAGAUAAGUGCUGAAAGCAUCUAAGCACGAAACUUGCCCCGAGAUGAGUUCUCCCUGACUCCUUGAGAGUCCUGAAGGAACGUUGAAGACGACGACGUUGAUAGGCCGGGUGUGUAAGCGCAGCGAUGCGUUGAGCUAACCGGUACUAAUGAACCGUGAGGCUUAACCUU
This 2904-nucleotide ribosomal RNA is filed under the name Escherichia coli. RNAcentral describes it as "bacterial LSU rRNA". It matches the Rfam family "Bacterial large subunit ribosomal RNA". Lineage: Bacteria; Pseudomonadati; Pseudomonadota; Gammaproteobacteria; Enterobacterales; Enterobacteriaceae. The record is from RNAcentral.